Long non-coding RNA from Oncorhynchus tshawytscha (Chinook salmon), 551 nucleotides. The record is from Ensembl. Lineage: Eukaryota; Metazoa; Chordata; Actinopteri; Salmoniformes; Salmonidae.
GUGAGGGACAGGAAUGAUAUACUGACCAGCAGGAGAGGACAGUGAAGGAAAUGGUGAGGGACAGGAAUGAUAUACUGGCUGUCUGAAAUAAAGCAGGACAUUGAGGAGAACGAAGACACCUUUGCCAACGUGGCGUCCAUCAGCCUACCAUCAAUCUCCUGCCUUUUGAAGAGGCACCAGGUGUCUAUGAAACACAUUGAUGAAAUAAAUCACUAUUCAGGUACAGCACUAUAUACUGUAUACUAUUCAGGUACAUCACUAUAUACUGUAUACUAUUCAGGUACAUUACUAUAUACUGUAUACUAUUCAGGUACAGCACUAUAUACUGUAUACUAUUCAGGUACAGCACUAUAUACUGUAUACUAUUCAGGUACAGCACUAUAUACUGUAUACUAUUCAGGUACAUCACUAUAUACUGUAUACUAUUCAGGUACAGCACUAUAUACUGUAUACUAUUCAGGUACAGCACUAUAUACUGUAUACUAUUCAGGUACAUCACUAUAUACUGUAUACUAUUCAGGUACAUCACUAUAUACUGUAUACUAUUCAGG